This 73-nucleotide transfer RNA is filed under the name Pseudomonas aeruginosa. RNAcentral's name for it is "tRNA-Thr". Lineage: Bacteria; Pseudomonadati; Pseudomonadota; Gammaproteobacteria; Pseudomonadales; Pseudomonadaceae. The record is from RNAcentral.
GAUUGAUGCUCUAAGAGGCUUUAUCGCUUUCGUAAUGAGAAGGUCGGGGGUUCGAUUCCUCUAUCCGGCACCA